AGUAAAUUGAUUCUUAUUCCCAUUCCCCAUUCUCAUUUAUUUUUACAAAAUAAACAUUGAAAUCUCAUUCCCAUUCAUCAUUCUCAUUUCAGCUUAUUCGCAUUCCCAAUCUAUUCCCAUUCCACCUCAUUCCUAUUCUAUAAAAUAAACGCAUCAUAAGUGAAUAACAACUUUAUUAUUGAUGGCUAGAUGAUUGUAACUAUAAACCAAUCAUUCUCCAAAUCCUAACAACUUGCUCUUCUCCUUCUUAAACAGACUCUCAAUAAACUUAUUUUUCAAUAUACAUUUAUACUUAUACACACACACACUCUAGACCAUUAGGAUAUGAAAUAAAUGAUUAUUUGAAUAGACUUCUCUCUUGCUGUGUGUGGACACAAAACAUUAUUAUUCUUUUUAAUUUAGGCAGUUAAACAUUUAUCACCAAUUAUUUGUUUUUUGAAUUUAAUGCAACAAACAAAACCUUGAACAAUAUCAAAACGUACGACAAAGCCAUCAUUAAAAGUUAAAACUUUGAUAUGAUGGGCCACUCUUUGGGAUGGAGCCUUUUCAUUGCACAAAGUCUACCCAACCAUUUUGGGCCCAAUAGGCCAUAGUUGGGCCAUCCCCUUCAAAGCAUCCGACCAAAUCCUAGAGAGCACCUACACUCCACCGUCCGGCCGUCCCUAAAAUCUUUGACACUACGGGUGCGUUUGGGAUUGAGGUUGGGCAGCUGUAGCUUAAAAGCUACAGCACUAAAGUGUUUGGUAAACACUAACUGCUGUAGCUUUUAAGCUAUGUUGAUAUGAUUUUUCACUUGUAUAAUAUAAAAUUUAUUAUAUCUUUAAUAAUUUUAUCAAAAUUAUUAUUUAAAAUUUAUAUUUACUAUAUAUUAUUAACUUUUGUUUCAUAAUUACAACUUUUUUUUCACAGCAGCUGUAGCUUAAAAGCUACAGCACCUCAAUCCCAAACGCACCCUACGUGCGCUAAGACUUGGCAAAACUCAAGUCUCCAAAUGCAUUGGACAUAAUUUUUAUUCAACUAGUCAUAUAAUAAAUUGUUCAACUAAUCAUAUGUUAAGUAAUUUGUAUAUUUACCAUUAUUCAUUAAUAAUAUGUCUUCUACAAUUAAACUUUUGACCUCUUGCUUAUUGUUAAAGGCCAAACUAAUUAUACUACCGUUUGAAAUUAAUCAAAUUUGAAUAUUAUUAAUAUUAAAUUACAUAUU
RNAcentral lists this long non-coding RNA (1203 nucleotides) under Citrus x clementina. RNAcentral describes it as "Citrus clementina (C. clementina) long non-coding RNA (CCLE_LNC004275)". Lineage: Eukaryota; Viridiplantae; Streptophyta; Magnoliopsida; Sapindales; Rutaceae. The record is from RNAcentral.